This 914-nucleotide ribosomal RNA is filed under the name uncultured bacterium. Its description in RNAcentral is "bacterial SSU rRNA". It matches the Rfam family "Bacterial small subunit ribosomal RNA", at positions 24 to 956 of the family's 1533-position model. The record is from RNAcentral.
UCAGGAUGAACGCUGGCGGCGUGCCUAACACAUGCAAGUCGAGCGCCCCGGUUUACCGGGGAGCGGCAAACGGGUGAGUAACGCGUAAGCAACCUACCUCAAAGACUGGCACAACUAGUCGAAAGAUUGGCUAAUUCCAGAUGUGUCCCCGAUGACAUAUGUUAUCGGGGGUAAAACUCCGCCUUUGGCGGAGGCUUUGAGACGGGCUUGCGUCCUAUCAGCUUGUUGGCGGGGUAACGGCCCACCAAGGCGAUGACGGGUAGCUGGUCUGAGAGGACGACCAGUCACAAGGGAACUGAGACACGGUCCCUACUCCUACGGGAGGCAGCGGUGAGGAAUUUUCCGCAAUGGGCGAAAGCCUGACGGAGCGACGCCGUGUGUGCGACGAAGUCCUUCGGGAUGUAAAGCACUGUCAGCAGGGAAGAUAUUGACGGUACCUGCAGAGGAAGGCCCGGCUAACUACGUGCCAGCAGCCGCGGUAAUACGUAGGGGCCAAGCGUUGUCCGGAAUCAUUGGGCGUAAAGGGCGCGUAGGCGGCUUUUUAAGUCGGAUGUUAAAUCUGCAGGCUCAACCUGCAGCCGCAUCCGAUACUGAUUGGAUGGAGAAUGGUAGAGGAAAGCGGAACUUUCGGUGUAGCGGUGAAAUGCGUAGAUAUCGAAAGGAACACCCGUGGCGAAGGCGGCUUUCUGGGCCAUUUCUGACGCUGAAGCGCGAAAGCCAGGGGAGCAAACGGGAUUAGAUACCCCGGUAGUCCUGGCCGUAAACGAUGUUCAUUGGGUGUUAAAGGUAUCGACCCCUUUGGUGCCGAAGCUAACGCGUUAAAUGAACCGCCUGGGGAUUACGACCGCAAGGUUAAAACUCAAAAGAAUUGACGGGGGCCCGCACAGCGGUGGAGCGUGUGGUUUAAUUCGAUG